RNAcentral lists this ribosomal RNA (253 nucleotides) under uncultured bacterium. RNAcentral describes it as "partial 16S ribosomal RNA". It matches the Rfam family "Bacterial small subunit ribosomal RNA", at positions 524 to 776 of the family's 1533-position model. The record is from RNAcentral.
UACGGGGGGGGCAAGCGUUGUUCGGAAUUACUGGGCGUAAAGGGCUCGUAGGCGGCCAACUAAGUCGAACGUGAAAUCCCUCGGCUUAACCGGGGAACUGCGUCCGAUACUGGAUGGCUAGAGUUCGGGAGAGGGAUGCGGAAUUCCAGGUGUAGCGGUGAAAUGCGUAGAUAUCUGGAGGAACACCGGUGGCGAAGGCGGCAUCCUGGACCGACACUGACGCUGAGGAGCGAAAGCCAGGGGAGCAAACGGG